CAGGUGCCUGGAGCAGGAAGGCUUCUAUUCAUCCUGUGGAAGUGGUAACAAGACACCAUGCUGUCCUUGGGAUUCCUGGCUAUGUAGAUCAUCUAGAAGUGGAGAGAGGAAGGGGAGAAGCAAAACCAGGAUUAGAACAGCAGACAAUGACGUGAGGGUGGGCGUAUUCCACACAGGUGGGUAUUCCUGAUGCUGUGUUUCUGUGCUGUGGCUUUUGUGGGAGGUGGAAAGGGUUCAUGUCAAUCUGCGUAUUGAUGAUAUGUGACCAAUGGACUUUUUUGUUUUUGUUUCUGUUUUUAACAAGUGACGUGUUUUAAGAGGAAAUUGAAGACCAGUCUGAGGUCCUUCAAAGGGGCCAAAUCUGCAUUCCUUUGGCUCCCUACCUUACAGUUUUCCUCCAGGAAAGAUGGUGGCAGCAAGUGGAAGGGGAGAUGUGUCUUCAACAUCCGGGGUCUUAACUGUGGCAUGUGCAUUCUAGUUUCCCUGAGCAGGCAUUGAACCCAGGUCCCUUGCAUUGAGAGCUCAGAAUCUUAGCCACUGGACCACCGCCUUUAUAGCAUAUGCAGUUUUCAUGACUGAUUAAAUACUGCAUUAGCUGAUUUCAUCAAAUCUCUCAUUCUGAGCCACCGUGAAGUGGUUUUUCCAAUCCCCCACGAUUCCUGGAAGGGGAAAGCCCAGACGAACAUCACUGCUUGGGAGUCCUGGUGACCCAAGUGAAGAAGGGAUGUGUGCCUGCAUACUGCCUCACCCACAUCCCUGGUGGUAUCCCUCCUCCUGCUGCUCUUGGCUGAGAUGUGCCCCGGAGCACCUGAUCAGAGGUCAGGGCCCCUAAAUCAGAGGACCAUCGACCCAAAGGAGCUGCAACUGGGACCCACCCGAGAGCUGAGGGGAGGGGCUGCGGAGAGCUGGGCAGCUCACCAGAUCCUUGCCCGAGACUACCCAAGGGAGAGAAGUGGAUUUGCUUGGCUUGUUUCAGUAACAGGGAAGCUGUUGUAGACUGGA
Molecule: long non-coding RNA, 1002 nt
Organism: Bubalus bubalis (water buffalo)
Lineage: Eukaryota; Metazoa; Chordata; Mammalia; Artiodactyla; Bovidae
Exons: 5
Source: RefSeq, a predicted model, not a curated record